UUGCGCCCCCUGGUAUUCCGGGGGGCAUGCCUGUCCGAGCGUCAUUGCUGCCCUCAAGCACGGCUUGGGUGGUGGGCCCCCGUCCCCGGGUCUCCCCGGGGACGGGCCCGAAAGGCAGCGGCGGCACCGCGUCCGAUCCUCAAGCGUAUGGGGCUUUGUCACCCGCUCUGUAGGCCCGGCCGGCGCCAGCCGACACCCCAACUUUAUUUUUCUAAGGUUGACCUCGGAUCAGGUAGGGAUACCCGCUGAACUUAA
RNAcentral lists this unclassified non-coding RNA (255 nucleotides) under uncultured fungus. RNAcentral's name for it is "sequence contains ITS2". The record is from RNAcentral. Lineage: Eukaryota; Fungi.